RNAcentral lists this non-coding RNA (63 nucleotides) under Gloeochaete wittrockiana. Lineage: Eukaryota; Glaucocystophyceae; Gloeochaetales; Gloeochaetaceae. The record is from RNAcentral.
AAACCCACGACACACAACACACACAACAGUUUCGGUGGUCGUCUUCCCUCAAGUUUUCCCCUC